This 416-nucleotide ribosomal RNA is filed under the name Lactobacillus gasseri. RNAcentral describes it as "bacterial SSU rRNA". It matches the Rfam family "Bacterial small subunit ribosomal RNA", at positions 377 to 786 of the family's 1533-position model. The record is from RNAcentral. Lineage: Bacteria; Bacillati; Bacillota; Bacilli; Lactobacillales; Lactobacillaceae.
AGCAGUCUGAUGGAGCACGCCGCGUGAGUGAAGAAGGGUUUCGGCUCGUAAAGCUCUGUUGGUAGUGAAGAAAGAUAGAGGUAGUAACUGGCCUUUAUUUGACGGUAAUUACUUAGAAAGUCACGGCUAACUACGUGCCAGCAGCCGCGGUAAUACGUAGGUGGCAAGCGUUGUCCGGAUUUAUUGGGCGUAAAGCGAGUGCAGGCGGUUCAAUAAGUCUGAUGUGAAAGCCUUCGGCUCAACCGGAGAAUUGCAUCAUAAACUGUUGAACUUGAGUGCAGAAGAGGAGAGUGGAACUCCAUGUGUAGCGGUGGAAUGCGUAGAUAUAUGGAAGAACACCAGUGGCGAAGGCGGCUCUCUGGUCUGCAACUGACGCUGAGGCUCGAAAGCAUGGGUAGCGAACAGGAUUAGAUACC